CUAGGGUUCAGUACAUGAGAAUCAGAAGAUAAACGAAGAAAUCUGAGUUUCUCCAAAAUUAUUCCUUCUCGUUCGUCACCAUCUCUAGCAUUUCAAGUUCAUCUUCCGAAUCAAGCCUCCUUCACAAUCAUCUUCAGAAGAAUCAGUAGAUAGGGAAUUGUUCAUCAUCGACAAGUAUUCUUUCUCAUUUGAUUCGUCGUCAGAAGCAAUCCUUGACAUCCGUCAUCUUCAAAAUCAUUACAUACAGUGUCACUCAUGUGAGAUGGAUGGCGGGGGUGGAGAUCCGCCGCCGAAUGGUAUUACAGCAGUUUGUUUAAAUUUCUUUCGUAAUUUGGGGCCCGUGUUGACUCAGUUCUGGAACCAGUAUGGUGACGUAAUCUGGACUUGGGUAUUGCAAAUACUAUUCUUAAGUGUUUUCCUCAGUGGGCUUGGUGAGAUGAGUCUGCUGAUGCUUAAUGAGAAAAGUGGCUAUCUCGAUCUUGUAUGGCUAGCUAUAUUUGUUGGUAUUUCGGGUUGUGCAUUUACUCUUUCAAGAUA
This is a long non-coding RNA of Papaver somniferum (opium poppy), 537 nucleotides long. RefSeq lists it as uncharacterized. Lineage: Eukaryota; Viridiplantae; Streptophyta; Magnoliopsida; Ranunculales; Papaveraceae. The record is from RefSeq and is a predicted model, not a curated record. The transcript has 3 exons.